ACUCCUACGGGAGGCAGCAGUGGGGAAUAUUGGACAAUGGGCGAAAGACCUGAUCCAGCCAUGCCGCGUGUGUGAAGAAGGGUCUUCGGAUUAGUAAAGCACUUUAAGUUAGGGAGGAAGGGCAGUUACCUAAUACGUAAUUGUUUUGACGUUACCGACAGAAUUAAGUACCGGACUAACUCUGUGCCAGCAGCCGCGGUAAUACAGAGGGGUGCAAGCGUUAAUCGGAAUUACUUGGGCGUAAAGCGCGCGUAGGUGGUUUGUUAAGUUUGGAUGUGAAAUCCCCGGGGCUCAACCUGGGGAACUGCAAUUCAAAACUGACUAGACUAGAGUUAUGGUAGAGGGUGGU
RNAcentral lists this ribosomal RNA (349 nucleotides) under uncultured bacterium. RNAcentral's name for it is "bacterial SSU rRNA". It matches the Rfam family "Bacterial small subunit ribosomal RNA", at positions 335 to 662 of the family's 1533-position model. The record is from RNAcentral.